RNAcentral lists this long non-coding RNA (5735 nucleotides) under Homo sapiens (human). RNAcentral describes it as "HSALNT0323547". Lineage: Eukaryota; Metazoa; Chordata; Mammalia; Primates; Hominidae. The record is from RNAcentral.
AGAGGCUCCUCACGCCAAUCCCGGGGCGGCAGGGGCGGCGCCUCGAGCUCUCGGCAAUAAAACUUUUUGAUGUUCACGUUGCUAAUUGCCGAGGUCCUCUUCCAGGAUUGGCUACCUCCUCAUAACCAUAAGAUAAUUAAAACUUGGCGGGGGGGGGGGGCAGGGUUAAAAAAACUUUUUUUAUCAGUCAGAGGAUAAUGCAAGUGUUUAACAGAUGCUUCACUAUUAAAAUAUUUUCCCCCCAAGUCUCAAAUAUUGAAGAAUCUCUAACCAGGCUCGAAACGCCGGUCUCAGUGGCUAUUGAGUUACCCACCAAGUUACCCCGGUUAGAGCUGUUUGGGGUGGCUCACGUUAUUGCGGCAAACUUUGGAGAUGACGGCUGAGUCCUCCGGGCGAACAUGUCAAGCCGAUUGUAAAUGCUGUUAUUUCCACAUCCUUCAGGGACACCAGUCCCUACGAAGACCUUGGGCGAUUUUGAAGUGCGGGCACCUCGAUUCCCCGAAUCUGUAGUGUGGCUGGUAUCGGUGUUCCCCUGGUUUAACUAGCCUGUUUGAAGGCACAGAUCAUUCAUGGGGAUGUAUAACCGAAACCAGUCCUCUCCACCGCCUGGGGAUCUUCACUUUCGCAGUCUACGACUGCCUGUGACUCCAGAAAGACAAACUGCAGAUUGGCCAAGAUGGGGAAAUUGAGGCAGAGAAGCCAAGACAUGUGCUAAAGGUCAUGCAGGCUAUGAAUGGAGCUGGAAUGUGAACGCAGGCCAUAUGACCCCAGAGCCCAUGUUCUUGAACCCUUAGAAAGACAGCAGCAACACACCUGGUGCAGCAGCUGCUUAGUUGGAGUGGCUGACAAGGUUGGCAGAGGAUCCCGUUCCUCCCGUGGAGUGGCUGCCAUGAUACUGCCUGCACUGAAGCUGCUCCUAUUUCUGAAAUAUGUAUUGUUAUUUUUUUCCCUGCAUGUUGAACAUUAUACUCUUCUGUUCUUUCGCAUUCUCUUCUUCCCUUCCGGAUGACUUCUAGGGUUUUUGUGAUUCUGUAAUUCUAAAGGAGAAAGGAUAAUAAGAAUUGUGAGGCCGGGCGCGGUGGCUCAUGCCUGUAAUCACAGCACUUUGGGAGGCCAAGGAGAGAAUGAUUUCCAGGAAGAGCGGAACACAUAUGGAAGGCCUUAGCUUAUCUUUAGCGCCUCAUACACCCGUUCUGGACUUCAGAAAGGCCAGUGAGUGGGAUUAGGCCUCAGAGAUAGGAUGUCAGUCCCAGUGAGGGAUGGCCUAGAGCAUUCUUUAAUUCUUUCCUUUGGGUCACACAUAAGAAACAAUUUUCCAGCACUGAUGAGUGUUAUUAACAAUGAGAUGGGAUAGAAUUUAGUUUUCCCUAUGGCUGUGCUUCAAAAAUAGAAAAGCUGUCUUUUCUCUGGAAUGAUUGAAUGAAGCUCUGGGGAGGAAAAGGUGGAUUGGCAGAUCUCUUAAAGGAAGCUUCUCCUUCUAGGCACUAUUCUAAGGCUUAAUAUUUUAACUCCCUAUAUUAACCUAGUUCAACUAAACAGUGAUCUGAGUAAUUUUAUUUUUAUUAAAGCUCAGAUCAAAAUGCCAUUAACAUUGAUUGAGAAAAUCAAAGGAAUCUUUGAUGUGAGUGGUUAAAUUGCUGAAUUAUUUCAGUCCCAUACCCUCACAGCAUGAGUACCUGAUCUGAUAGACUUCUUUGGAAUUCCUUUUUUGUUUGAGACAGAGUCUUGCUCUGUCGCCCAGGCUGGAGUGCAGCGGUGUGAUCUCAACCAUUGCAACCUCCACCUCCCAGGUUCAAGUGAUUCUCAUGCCUCAGCCUCCUGAGUAGCUGGGAUUACAGAUGUGCACCACCAUGCCCGGCUAAUUAUUUUGUAUCUUUAGUAGAGAUGAAGUUUUGCCAUGUGGGCCAGGCUGUUCUCAAACUACUGGCCUCAAGUGAUCUGCCCGCCUCGGCCUCCCAGACUGCUGGGAUUACAGGCGUGAGGCACCGUGCCUGGCUGGGAUUCCAUAAUAAAUCCCUCUGUGUCUAUUUCUUUUUUCAAAUAUAAUUUUCUUCAUUUCCAAACAUCAUCUUUAAGACUCCAAGGAUUUUUCCAGGCACAGUGGCUCAUACCUGUAAUCCCAUUGCUUGGAGAGGCCAAGGUGGAAGUUCAUUUGAGGCCAGGAGUUCGAGACCAGGUGGGCAACAUAGUGAAACCUUGUCUCUACAACAUAAAAAAAAAAAUAAAACCCUAAGGAAAUAAUGGUGCCUCACUACCUUUCAAAGCUUUUGACCUUCAAGUCAGAAAAUAAAUUAUUUUUAGGAAAGGCAUCUCAACCUUAUUUACAAAUGAACUAUUUGUCAAGAGCAACCUCUAUAAGGAUAAUAGGACUUCCUGGUUUGAAAUGCAGCAUGAACAAUUCUCAGAGGCUCCUGGAAGACUAAGAAUGAGGUUUCUUGAUCCGCCUUCCCUCGGCAUCUUCUCACUCUCUUCCCUCCUUCUCAGAAGCUGUGUGCAGCAAUGGGCUAUGCAACUGGUUUCACUGGUGCCUGGUAGAACUUUUAAUUCCUCCCUGUCAGCACAUCCCUAGUCCACUUUCAUAGUUUGGAUAAGGACUGGAUAAGCAGCUGAACUUCUGGGGACUUUUCCAAAUGAAAUUCAACCUUUAGACCUUUGGAGGUUUACCCAGUCUUCCUCACUACCCGAAGAUGAGUUUGGAACAAAUUUUCUCUUAAUGGAUUCUAUUUGUGGGUAGGAGAGGUAAUGACUGCCUUGCUCAGAGUCAUGAGCAUAACUUCAAAUAAGGAAAAAGAGCCUCGCAGGAAUGUGAGAAUAGAUGCGAUCCUGAGGAAGGUGUGUCUGAGGAGGUGCUGGGAGGUUCUGAUCGGCUGUUGAAGGCAGAUACUGUAUCUCACGUGACAGAAGUCACCUCCUGACAUCAGAGUUGUGUUUGAGUGGUAAUUUAAAAAAUAAUAUAGCUGACAAGGAAAUGUGGAAGGCAUUACGUUGCAAUACAGUGAAAUGAACAUACAACAUUCAAGAUCAAUUACCGGGUACUGAUUAGCUGGGAGAAAGGCAAUAAAACUUUAAAAAUAGAAUUGGUAGAAAUAGCACCCUGUCAAGGUGGGACUGACUAUGCCUCCUGCUGGUUUGUUGCGAGGAAUUCUUUUUUUGGGAAAAUCCUGUUGAAUUGUGUGGCUUGUGAAUCUGGCUCUAGAACUGUUAAUGUUAUAAGAAUUGAAAGAGGACUAUUUAAAAAUACCAAGACAUCUUUUAAAAUUCCUAUUUUUAGAACAGCUACUUGUCAUUAAAAUAAAUCAUUCCAUUUCUAUUUGUCCAGGUUACUGCUUUCACAGCAGGGCCAGGGCUAUGGUGAAGUGUGGGAGGUGCCCAGUCCCCUUCACUGCAGUCAUGGCUCUGUUUCAUGCCACAUGUGUUAUUUUAUAAGUGGUUAAGCCCCACAUAGGCAUGCAAACAUGGUACAUCUCUAUGUAUUGGUUUUGGUAAUGUUGUAAAUAAUUGGGAGAAUACAUUAAAAUUUGGUAAUAGUGCUCCUUUGGACUCAGUCUCUUUUUUUUUUUUUAAGACAGAGUUUCGCUCUUGUUGCCCAGGCUGGAGUGCAAUGGCAUGAUCUUGGCUCAUUGCAACCUCUGCCUCCUGGGUUCAAGCAAGUCUCCUGCCUCAGCCUUCCUGAGUAGCUAGGAUUACAGGCAUGUGCCACUAUGCCCGGCUAAUUUUGUAUUUUUAGUAGAAAAGGGGUUUCUCCAUGUUGGUCAGGCUGGUCUUGAAUUCCCGACCUCAGGUGAUUCCAGUUCUAAUUCCCCAACAGAGUUGUCUUGGUUGCAGUGAGAUAUAUAUAUAUAUAUAUAUAUAUAUAUAUAUAUAUAUAUAUAUAUAUAUAUAUUUUGAGAUGGGGUCUCGCUCUGUCGCCCAGUCUGGAGAGCAGUGGCGCGAUCUUGGCUUGCAGUGAGACAUUUUUAUCCAUCCUGAUCACAGCACUUGCCUCCGGGCUCAUGAAGCCCAGCAUGUUACUGCUGUUCUGAACGUCUCUGCUUUUUGAGAGACAUGUUUAAUGAAUUGGGAGUAUCUGUGCACAUUGCAUUCACUUAAAAAGGGAAAAAUACCUUUUAACAGUUAUAGCUACAGAAAUUCAAUUUAGUUUAUUUAGGAGGAAAUGAGAGACUUGAAUUGUAGGUGUGAAAUCUUACAAUCUUUCAGAAUGAUUUGGUUUGGGGGAUGGUUGGAACUGCAUGGAAUUCCUUCAGCCAAAAUAAUUUUUGUGAGCACAUUCCCAAGCUCACGAUCAUGUUUUGAUAAGAAAAAUCCCUUUCUCCACAAGUUCUCAGGUCCCACUCAUUGGCCCCUGCCCUCAUUUCUGGAACCUAUGUUAGGCAGUUAUGUGGCUCAGUUCUUGGUGAUAUGUUUUCAAUUUGAGUCAACUUGAUGAGAGAAAAAUUACUAAAAAGUGGGAAUGAGCUGUGAGGUGAACAGGGUUUUCCUAUCAAAGUGGAGGUAUUUUUAAAAGCAUUUAUUAUUUCAAACUCAAACAUUUAUAGAAAGCCAUGAGUGUGAAGUGUAUGAUUACCAGUUGUGGCUUGCUGCAUUGAAAAAUUCAAGUUCAUAGGAAAUAUUUACUGAGGCUCUGGUUUGCAAGCAGUUUGUUCAAGAGAACAAUUUGGUCCAGAAGGCAUGUCAGCCAAAAAAGAGUUUACUAAUAUAGUAGUAACAGGCAAUUAGGAUUCAUAAGCAUCGCCAUGGCUGAGACAUGAUUUAAGGUCUUAGAUGGAAAGAGUUCUGUUAUUAAGAUAACAGAAUUUAAAUGCUGUAUCUGUCUAGGUCUUAUGCAUGUCAGAAGUGAGAAAACUACUUCUUCAUUUUCCAUUUUUAUGAGCUCUGAUGUAACACAGUUUUUUUUUUUUUCUGUGUUGAAAAUGAUGAAUAUAGUUCUUGGCACAUUUGUUCCAUAGUAAAGAAGAAUUUAACUUGCAAGUGAAAAACCUCUGCCUUUGGCCAUGGAUUAAAAAGAUGUUAUAUGAUGAAGUUUACUUCCUAAGGAAAGGUUAGUUUUGUGUGGCACUUUCUGAAAAUUUGUUUGGGACAUAUACAAUUCUUUUGUAUAAAUUCUGGAGGUCUGAGGAAAAUUACUUAAUCACAUUAGAUGAGAACAUUUCUUUUUGUGUGAAUUGAGUUCUUAUCAAGGUUCUGAUGUUUUUUCUCAUGUAUUUGCCCUUGGGUUCAUCUCAAUACAAUGCAUUUGUGUACUAUUGAAUAAAAAGCAGGCUGCAACAGUAUUUAUGACAUAUGAUCCUAUAUACACGUAAAAUCUUGUGUGUGUGUUUGUGUGUGCACAUGCAUAUAAAAAAAACUACAUUGUUAAAGUUGUUAAUAGUUAACUCCCGGUGGUGGGUUUUAAGUGAUUAUUAUUUUCUUUGUAUAAGAAAAAUAGUGCACAGUUUUCUUUUGUUGUUACGAAAGGUGUCAUACAUUUGAAAGAGGACAUAUGCACAGUUUAAAUAAUAAUAACAUAGUGAAUACCCACUGCUUGGCUGAAAAAAAUAAUUUAUUACUCUGUUGCAGAAGGCAAGCCUUCCUUCUGCCCCUGCCUCUGUCAUGGAGGUAGCUACUUGCUUGAAUUUUGUGCUAAUCAUGUCUUUGCUUUCUUAUAUAGUUUAGCCAGCUGUGAAUGUCUCCAUAAAACAUACACAGUUUUAUUUUGAUUGUUUUUGAACUUUAAAUAAAUGAAAUCAUACUGGAUA